AUGUCGUGGCUCACGCGCUCCAUCGCGGCCACGCUCUCCGGCGAGCCCGACCCCGACUCCGACGCCUCCGAAUCCGAGGCCUCCUCCGCCGGCAGGCCGGCCGCGGAGGGGUCCUCGCCGCGCGAUCCCGAGGACGAGGAGCCCGAGGAGCCCAUCACCCCGAGCCGCGGCGUCAAGGACGACAUCUCCGAGCUCACCGAGACCCUCACCCGCCGCCUGUGGGGCGUGGCGUCCUUCCUCGCCCCACCGCCGCCCCCGCCGGAGCCGGAGUCCUCGUCCCCGCGCGCCGCGCCCGCGGAGGCGGACGACGGAGAGGGGGGCGAUGUGGACGUGGACGGGGACGGGAUCGCGGGGAUCCGGAGCGAUCUGGCGGAGAUCGGGGGCAGGGUGAGGAGCGGCAUCUCCAUGCUGCAGAGCAACCUGGCCGUGGCAGAGAUCUCCAAGAUCGCGUCCUCGCUCCUGCCGUUCGGGGAGGAGGAGCCCGACGAAGGGGAGCCCGUCGCCGGCGGGACCGAGGAGGUGCUGGUCUUCGUGAAGCACAUCUCGACGCGGCCUGAGACGUGGCUCGAUUUCCCCCUCUUCAUCAGCGAGCGUUAUGCAGACGAUUUUGAACUGUCGAAUGCUCAGUAUGUGCAUGCACUAUCCAUGGAACACCUUGUGCCAAGCUUAUCAGAUUUAAAGGUUCAGAUUUGCUCCACUGAUAUGAGUGAAGCAUGUUUCUGGAAGAUAUAUUUUGUGCUUCUGCACUCAAAACUGAACAAACAAGAUGCCGAACUUCUUUCAACACCACAGAUCCUAGAAGCAAGGGAGGAGCUGCUGCAAAGCUUACAGGCUAAGAAUAAGCGAGGAUCUGAAACUACCAGAGAAUCAUCAGAGAAUGCGAAUGAAUCCUCUGCCCCAGCUGAAGAGAAGGUGAUAGAACCUUCAAUCAUCCAAGACAAAGAAGUCUCCAUAUCAGAGGUCCGUUCGUUUGAAGAACCCACCUCCGACAUCACGCCAGAAAUCGAGGCCGAGAAGUUCCCAGUGUCAACCACCGAAGUGGAAAUCAUCGACAAGUCAGUGAUCGAAGAAGAGCUGUUGUCAGUGAAAGAUAAAAUCAGGGCCCCACUCGUCCAGUCCAGACUCCACGCCGACACCGAUGAAGACGAAGUGGACGAAUGGCCUGACGAUGACUCAACCGAGGAGCCCGAGGCGGUAGCGGCAGCAAGCAACAGGGCUUCGCUGGGGCGGGAGGAGGACGUGUCGUUCAGCGACCUGGAAGACGACGACGACGACGACGGCGGCAAUAAAGGGUCGGGCAAGUAG
This 1305-nucleotide ribosomal RNA is filed under the name Triticum aestivum (bread wheat). Its description in RNAcentral is "partial small subunit ribosomal RNA". The record is from RNAcentral. Lineage: Eukaryota; Viridiplantae; Streptophyta; Magnoliopsida; Poales; Poaceae.